Lampris incognitus (smalleye Pacific opah) is the source of this 250-nucleotide long non-coding RNA. RefSeq lists it as uncharacterized. The transcript is spliced from 3 exons. Lineage: Eukaryota; Metazoa; Chordata; Actinopteri; Lampriformes; Lampridae. The record is from RefSeq and is a predicted model, not a curated record.
AGGAGAUUAAGAUCGCAUGAAGCAAACAAGACACCUUGACCCGAUUCCUUGCACCAUCAACAGUCCCCUUGGGAAACUGGGAAUUGAUGAGGCAUCCACCUGACAAGCACAAUCACAUGCCUGUGUGCGAAGAUGGCGGCGUGAAUUCUCAUCUGCGGCGGCCUCACCCAGUACCAUCCAUGCAGUGUCUUUGUCCACAUCUGCAUCUAAGUUUUGUCUUCAUUUGAUGGCUGGGAGAGCUGGCACUGAG